Molecule: long non-coding RNA, 494 nt
Filed under: Coffea arabica (coffee)
Lineage: Eukaryota; Viridiplantae; Streptophyta; Magnoliopsida; Gentianales; Rubiaceae
Description: long non-coding RNA (CARA_LNC001261)
Source: RNAcentral
UUUUUCUGAUGAAUUUUAUCGGCAAAAACUUGAGUAGCAACCCUCUUCGUUCUUUUUGAUUUGACCAGAGACCUCAAAGCUUUGCCCACCCGUGACCUUCUUGGUUCUCCUCCUCCUUCAAGCUUUCUCAGCCUUCAAGCCCUCUAGUGUUUUUCUUUUCCUCUCGCUGCUGUUUUUAUCUAGCCCGAUGUCCGAUCUUCCCCUUCCUCAUCUCUUUUCCUCUUGCGGCGCCCCUUUUCUUUUCUUUUGCUCUCAGAUUUCUCCCUUCCUCUCAUCCAGCCAUCAUAAACUCCACUCUUAGCUUCCUCUCGAAACUCCCUCAGCUAUCCUUCUCUCACUCUAUCUAUCCCCUUUCCCUUUUUUUUCAGCCCCGGAUUUUCAAUCCCUUUUUUAUCCAGCCGUCCCCUUCAAUCCCCUUGGUUCCUUUCUUUUCACUGUUAACCUUCCCCUUCUCCCAGCCGCAAGCCUUUUUUUCUGAUUUUCUUAGCCGUCUC